Molecule: ribosomal RNA, 468 nt
Filed under: uncultured bacterium
Lineage: Bacteria
Description: partial 16S ribosomal RNA
Rfam family: Bacterial small subunit ribosomal RNA
Source: RNAcentral
GACGAACGCUGGCGGCGUGCUUAACACAUGCAAGUCGAACGGAAAGGCCCUGCUUUUGUGGGGUGCUCGAGUGGCGAACGGGUGAGUAACACGUGAGUAACCUGCCCUUGACUUUGGGAUAACUUCAGGAAACUGGGGCUAAUACCGGAUAGGAGCUCCUGCUGCAUGUUGGGGGUUGGAAAGUUUCGGCGGUUGGGGAUGGACUCGCGGCUUAUCAGCUUGUUGGUGGGGUAGUGGCUUACCAAGGCUUUGACGGGUAGCCGGCCUGAGAGGGUGACCGGCCACAUUGGGACUGAGAUACGGCCCAGACUCCUACGGGGGGCAACAGUGGGGAAUAAUGCACAAUGGGCGGAAGCCUGAUGCAGCAACACCGCGUGAGGGAUGACGGCCUUCGGGUUGUAAACCGCUUUCGCCUGUGACGAAGCGUGAGUGACGGUAAUGGGUAAAGAAGCACCGGCUAACUACGUG